GACCAAGGAGUCUGACAUGUGUGC
RNAcentral lists this non-coding RNA (24 nucleotides) under Arabidopsis thaliana (thale cress). The record is from RNAcentral. RNAcentral also lists the same sequence under 1 other name. Lineage: Eukaryota; Viridiplantae; Streptophyta; Magnoliopsida; Brassicales; Brassicaceae.